RNAcentral lists this ribosomal RNA (912 nucleotides) under uncultured bacterium. RNAcentral describes it as "bacterial SSU rRNA". It matches the Rfam family "Bacterial small subunit ribosomal RNA", at positions 532 to 1444 of the family's 1533-position model. The record is from RNAcentral.
UCCCGAGCGUUNUCCGGAUUUAUUGGGCGUAAAGGGAGCGCAGGCGNUCAGGAAAGUCUGGAGUAAAAGGCUAUGGCUCAACCAUAGUGUGNUCUGGAAACUGUCUGACUUGAGUGCAGAAGGGGAGAGUGGAAUUCCAUGUGUAGCGGUGAAAUGCGUAGAUAUAUGGAGGANCACCAGUGGCGAAAGCGGCUCUCUGGUCUGUCACUGACGCUGAGGCUCGAAAGCGUGGGUAGCGAACAGGAUUAGAUACCCUGGUAGUNCACGCCGUAAACGAUGAGUGCUAGGUGUUAGGCCCUUUCCGGGGCUUAGUGCCGGAGCUAACGCAAUAAGCACUCCGCCUGGGGAGUACGACCGCAAGGUUGAAACUCAAAGGAAUUGACGGGGGCCCGCACAAGCGGUGGAGCAUGUGGUUUAAUUCGAAGCAACGCGAAGAACCUUACCAGGUCUUGACAUCCCGAUGCUAUUCUUAGAGAUAGGAAGUUACUUCGGUACAUCGGAGACAGGUGGUGCAUGGUUGUCGUCAGCUCGUGUCGUGAGAUGUUGGGUUAAGUCCCGCAACGAGCGCAACCCUUAUUGUUAGUUGCCAUCAUUAAGUUGGGCACUCUAGCGAGACUGCCGGUAAUAAACCGGAGGAAGGUGGGGAUGACGUCAAAUCAUCAUGCCCCUUAUGACCUGGGCUACACACGUGCUACAAUGGUCGGUACAACGAGUUGCGAGCCGGUGACGGCAAGCUAAUCUCUGAAAGCCGAUCUCAGUUCGGAUUGGAGGCUGCAACUCGCCUCCAUGAAGUCGGAAUCGCUAGUAAUCGCGGAUCAGCACGCCGCGGUGAAUACGUUCCCGGGCCUUGUACACACCGCCCGUCACACCACGAGAGUUUGUAACACCCGAAGUCGGUGAGGUAACCUUUUA